RNAcentral lists this ribosomal RNA (624 nucleotides) under uncultured bacterium. RNAcentral describes it as "bacterial SSU rRNA". It matches the Rfam family "Bacterial small subunit ribosomal RNA", at positions 149 to 791 of the family's 1533-position model. The record is from RNAcentral.
GUUGGAAACGGCUGCUAAUACCGCAUAAGCGUACGGCAUCGCAUGAUGCAGUGUGAAAAACUCCGGUGGUAUAAGAUGGACCCGCGUUGGAUUAGCUAGUUGGUGAGGUAACGGCCCACCAAGGCGACGAUCCAUAGCCGACCUGAGAGGGUGACCGGCCACAUUGGGACUGAGACACGGCCCAAACUCCUACGGGAGGCAGCAGUGGGGAAUAUUGCACAAUGGGCGAAAGCCUGAUGCAGCGACGCCGCGUGAGCGAAGAAGUAUUUCGGUAUGUAAAGCUCUAUCAGCAGGGAAGAUAAUGACGGUACCUGACUAAGAAGCACCGGCUAAAUACGUGCCAGCAGCCGCGGUAAUACGUAUGGUGCAAGCGUUAUCCGGAUUUACUGGGUGUAAAGGGAGCGCAGGCGGUGCGGCAAGUCUGAUGUGAAAGCCCGGGGCUCAACCCCGGUACUGCAUUGGAAACUGUCGUACUAGAGUGUCGGAGGGGUAAGCGGAAUUCCUAGUGUAGCGGUGAAAUGCGUAGAUAUUAGGAGGAACACCAGUGGCGAAGGCGGCUUACUGGACGAUAACUGACGCUGAGGCUCGAAAGCGUGGGGAGCAAACAGGAUUAGAUACCCUGGU